GUGAGUCAUCGAAUCUUUGAACGCACAUUGCGCCCCUUGGCAUUCCGAGGGGCAUGCCCGUUCGAGCGUCAUUAUAACCCCUCAAGCCUAGCUUGGUGUUGGAGCCUGCCGUUACCGGCAGCUCUUAAAAUCAGUGGCGGUGCCAUCUGGCUCUAAGCGUAGUAAUACUUCUCGCUACAGGGUCCCGGUAGAUGCUUGCCAUCAACCCCUAAUUUUCUAUGGUUGACCUCGGAUCGGGUAGGGAUACCCGCUGAACUUAAGCAUAUCAAUAAGCGGAGGA
Molecule: unclassified non-coding RNA, 280 nt
Filed under: Leohumicola sp.
Lineage: Eukaryota; Fungi; Ascomycota; Leotiomycetes
Description: partial contains 5.8S ribosomal RNA, internal transcribed spacer 2, and large subunit ribosomal RNA
Rfam family: 5.8S ribosomal RNA (bases 1-71)
Source: RNAcentral